This 253-nucleotide ribosomal RNA is filed under the name uncultured bacterium. Its description in RNAcentral is "partial 16S ribosomal RNA". It matches the Rfam family "Bacterial small subunit ribosomal RNA", at positions 524 to 776 of the family's 1533-position model. The record is from RNAcentral.
UACGGAGGAUGCAAGCGUUAUCCGGAAUUACUGGGCGUAAAGCGUGCGCAGGCGGUUUUGUAAGUCUGUCGUGAAAUCCCCGGGCUCAACCUGGGAAUUGCGAUGGAGACUGCAAGGCUAGAAUCUGGCAGAGGGGGGUAGAAUUCCACGUGUAGCAGUGAAAUGCGUAGAGAUGUGGAGGAACACCGAUGGCGAAGGCAGCCCCCUGGGUCAAGAUUGACGCUCAUGCACGAAAGCGUGGGGAGCAAACAGG